Molecule: ribosomal RNA, 434 nt
Filed under: uncultured bacterium
Lineage: Bacteria
Description: bacterial SSU rRNA
Rfam family: Bacterial small subunit ribosomal RNA
Source: RNAcentral
AGAACGAACGCUGGCGGCAUGCCUAACACAUGCAAGUCGAACGAGACCUUCGGGUCUAGUGGCGCACGGGUGCGUAACGCGUGGGAACCUGCCUUUAGGUUCGGAAUAACUCAGAGAAAUUUGAGCUAAUACCGGAUAAUGUCUUCGGACCAAAGAUUUAUCGCCUUUAGAUGGGCCCGCGUAAGAUUAGCUAGUUGGUGGGGUAAAGGCCUACCAAGGCGACGAUCUUUAGCUGGUCUGAGAGGAUGAUCAGCCACACUGGGACUGAGACACGGCCCAGACUCCUACGGGAGGCAGCAGUGGGGAAUAUUGGACAAUGGGCGAGAGCCUGAUCCAGCAAUGCCGCGUGAGUGAUGAAGGCCUUAGGGUUGUAAAGCUCUUUACCCGAGAUGAUAAUGACAGUAUCGGGAGAAUAAGCUCCGGCUAACUCCGUG